RNAcentral lists this ribosomal RNA (277 nucleotides) under uncultured prokaryote. Its description in RNAcentral is "partial 16S ribosomal RNA". It matches the Rfam family "Bacterial small subunit ribosomal RNA", at positions 524 to 800 of the family's 1533-position model. The record is from RNAcentral.
UACGGAGGAUCCGAGCGUUAUCCGGAUUUAUUGGGUUUAAAGGGUGCGUAGGCGGGAGAUUAAGUCGGUGGUGAAAUUUUGCAGCUCAACUGUAAAAGUGCCUUCGAAACUGGUUUCCUUGAGUGUAGAUGAAGUAGGCGGAAUUUGUGGUGUAGCGGUGAAAUGCUUAGAUAUCACGAGGAACUCCGAUUGCGCAGGCAGCUUACUAAACUACUACUGACGCUCAGGCACGAAGGCGUGGGGAUCAAACAGGAUUAGAUACCCCCGUAGUCCCUGA